Molecule: ribosomal RNA, 497 nt
Filed under: uncultured bacterium
Lineage: Bacteria
Description: partial 16S ribosomal RNA
Rfam family: Bacterial small subunit ribosomal RNA
Source: RNAcentral
GACGAACGCUGGCGGCGUGCCUAAUACAUGCAAGUUGAGCGAUGAAGAUUGGUGCUUGCACCAAUUUGAAGAGCAGCGAACGGGUGAGUAACGCGUGUGGAAUCUGCCUUUGAGCGGGGGACAACAUUUGGAAACGAAUGCUAAUACCGCAUAACAACUUUAAACAUAAGUUUUAAGUUUGAAAGUUGCAAUUGCAUCACUCAAAGAUGAUCCCGCGUUGUAUUAGCUAGUUGGUGAGGUAAAGGCUCACCAAGGCGAUGAUACAUAGCCGACCUGAGAGGGUGAUCGGCCACAUUGGGACUGAGACACGGCCCAAACUCCUACGGGAGGCAGCAGUAGGGAAUCUUCGGCAAUGGACGAAAGUCUGACCGAGAAACGCCGCGUGAGUGAAGAAGGUUGUCGGAUCGUAAAACUCUGUUGGUAGAGAAGAACGUUGGUGAGAGUGGAAAGCUCAUCAAGUGACGGUAACGACCCAGAAAGGGACGGCUAACUACGUG